GAUGAAGAACGUAGCGAAAUGCGAUAAGUAAUGUGAAUUGCAGAAUUCAGUGAAUCAUCGAAUCUUUGAACGCACAUUGCGCCCGCCAGUAUUCUGGCGGGCAUGCCUGUUCGAGCGUCAUUACAACCCUCAGGCCCCCGGGCCUGGCGUUGGGGAUCGGCGGAAGCCCCCUGCGGGCACAACGCCGUCCCCCAAAUACAGUGGCGGUCCCGCCGCAGCUUCCAUUGCGUAGUAGCUAACACCUCGCAACUGGAGAGCGGCGCGGCCACGCCGUAAAACACCCAACUUCUGAAUGUUGACCUCGAAUCAGGUAGGAAUACCCGCUGAACUUAAGCAUAUAAUAGCGGAGGA
Molecule: unclassified non-coding RNA, 351 nt
Filed under: soil metagenome
Description: partial contains 5.8S ribosomal RNA, internal transcribed spacer 2, and large subunit ribosomal RNA
Rfam family: 5.8S ribosomal RNA (bases 1-120)
Source: RNAcentral